CCGAGUCUUAACUGGGCGUUAAGUUGCAGGGUAUAGACCCGAAACCCGGUGAUCUAGCCAUGGGCAGGUUGAAGGUUGGGUAACACUAACUGGAGGACCGAACCGACUAAUGUUGAAAAAUUAGCGGAUGACUUGUGGCUGGGGGUGAAAGGCCAAUCAAACCGGGAGAUAGCUGGUUCUCCCCGAAAGCUAUUUAGGUAGCGCCUCGUGAAUUCAUCUCCGGGGGUAGAGCACUGUUUCGGCAAGGGGGUCAUCCCGACUUACCAACCCGAUGCAAACUGCGAAUACCGGAGAAUGUUAUCACGGGAGACACACGGCGGGUGCUAACGUCCGUCGUGAAGAGGGAAACAACCCAGACCGCCAGCUAAGGUCCCAAAGUCAUGGUUAAGUGGGAAACGAUGUGGGAAGGCCCAGACAGCCAGGAUGUUGGCUUAGAAGCAGCCAUCAUUUAAAGAAAGCGUAAUAGCUCACUGGUCGAGUCGGCCUGCGCGGAAGAUGUAACGGGGCUAAACCAUG
Molecule: ribosomal RNA, 516 nt
Filed under: Escherichia coli
Lineage: Bacteria; Pseudomonadati; Pseudomonadota; Gammaproteobacteria; Enterobacterales; Enterobacteriaceae
Also listed under: 2 other names
Description: partial 23S ribosomal RNA
Rfam family: Bacterial large subunit ribosomal RNA
Source: RNAcentral